Molecule: small nucleolar RNA, 213 nt
Organism: Rhinolophus ferrumequinum (greater horseshoe bat)
Lineage: Eukaryota; Metazoa; Chordata; Mammalia; Chiroptera; Rhinolophidae
Gene: U3
Rfam family: Small nucleolar RNA U3
About the family: Small nucleolar RNAs (snoRNAs) are involved in the processing and modification of rRNA in the nucleolus. There are two main classes of snoRNAs: the box C/D class, and the box H/ACA class.
Source: Ensembl
AAGACUAUACUUUCAGGGAUCGUUUCUAUAGUUUGUUACUAGAGAACUUUCUCUGACGUGUAGAGCACCCGAGACCACAAGGAGGAGGAGCAGUGUUCUCUCCUGAGUGGGAAGCUGGCUCUUGGUGUUGCUUUUGCGACUGCUAUUAGCCAUUGGUGAUCAUUCUUCUCUUCCUUUGGGAGAGUAAGAGGGAGAGAACGCAGUCUGAGUGGC